AGGCGACAACGUUCAGCCGUCAUCGGUAAACAUACCAAACCACGGGCAUGAGUAACCAUGAAAUUAAUUGCUUCUGGUGUGACGUGCUCUGCAGCCAUGAUU
This 102-nucleotide non-coding RNA is filed under the name uncultured Glaciecola sp. Lineage: Bacteria; Pseudomonadati; Pseudomonadota; Gammaproteobacteria; Alteromonadales; Alteromonadaceae. The record is from RNAcentral.